AGAGUUUGAUCAUGGCUACAGAACGAACGCUGGCGGCGCGUCUUAAACAUGCAAGUCGAACGAUCUGUAGCAAUACAGGGAGUGGCGGACGGGUGAGGAACACGUAGGAAUCUACCUAGAAGAGCGGGACAACCUUGGGAAACCGGGGCUAAUACCGCAUAGUACAGUGAUGUUAAAGGGCUAGCAAUAGUCGCUUCUAGAUGAGCCUGCGGUCUAUCAGCUUGUUGGCGGGGUAACGGCCCACCAAGGCUACGACGGAUAGCCGGUCUGAGAGGAUGAUCGGCCACACUGGCACUGAGACACGGGCCAGACUCCUACGGGAGGCAGCAGUUAAGAAUCUUGCGCAAUGGACGAAAGUCUGACGCAGCGACGCCGCGUGAAGGAUGAAGGCUUUCGGGUUGUAAACUUCGGUAGACUGGGAAGAAAAAGUAAGUUCGUUGAGGGCUUACAUUGACGGUACCAGUCUGAAGCCCCGGCUAAUUACGUG
Molecule: ribosomal RNA, 487 nt
Filed under: uncultured bacterium
Lineage: Bacteria
Description: bacterial SSU rRNA
Rfam family: Bacterial small subunit ribosomal RNA
Source: RNAcentral